This 497-nucleotide ribosomal RNA is filed under the name uncultured bacterium. RNAcentral's name for it is "partial 16S ribosomal RNA". It matches the Rfam family "Bacterial small subunit ribosomal RNA", at positions 28 to 507 of the family's 1533-position model. The record is from RNAcentral.
GAUGAACGCUGGCGGCGUGCCUAAUACAUGCAAGUCGAGCGAACGGACGAGAAGCUUGCUUCUCUGAUGUUAGCGGCGGACGGGUGAGUAACACGUGGAUAACCUACCUAUAAGACUGGGAUAACUUCGGGAAACCGGAGCUAAUACCGGAUGAUAUUUUGAACCGCAUGGUUCAAAAGUGAAAGACGGUCUUGCUGUCACUUAUAGAUGGAUCCGCGCUGCAUUAGCUAGUUGGUAAGGUAACGGCUUACCAAGGCAACGAUGCAUAGCCGACCUGAGAGGGUGAUCGGCCACACUGGAACUGAGACACGGUCCUGACUCCUACGGGGUGCAGCAGUAGGGAAUCUUCCGCAAAGGGCGAAAGCCUGACGGAGCAACGCCGCGUGAGUGAUGAAGGUCUUCGGAUCGUAAAACUCUGUUAUUAGGGAAGAACAUAUGUGUAAGUAACUGUGCACAUCUUGACGGUACCUAAUCAGAAAGCCACGGCUAACUACGUG